AUUAAUGAACUUGUUAAAGUAUUUGUUUUGAAAACUUAUGAAAGAAUAGCUAUAAUUCUAUUAAUUU
RNAcentral lists this transfer RNA (67 nucleotides) under Stichophthalma howqua. RNAcentral's name for it is "tRNA-Ser". Lineage: Eukaryota; Metazoa; Arthropoda; Insecta; Lepidoptera; Nymphalidae. The record is from RNAcentral.